This 433-nucleotide ribosomal RNA is filed under the name uncultured bacterium. Its description in RNAcentral is "partial 16S ribosomal RNA". It matches the Rfam family "Bacterial small subunit ribosomal RNA", at positions 29 to 507 of the family's 1533-position model. The record is from RNAcentral.
AACGAACGCUGGCGGCAGGCCUAACACAUGCAAGUCGAGCGAGAUCUUCGGGUCUAGCGGCGGACGGGUGAGUAACGCGUGGGAAUAUGCCCUUCUCUGCGGAAUAGCCUCGGGAAACUGAGCGUAAUACCGCAUACGCCCUUUGGGGGAAAGAUUUAUCGGAGAAGGAUUAGCCCGCGUUGGAUUAGGUAGUUGGUGGGGUAACGGCCUACCAAGCCGACGAUCCAUAGCUGGUUUGAGAGGAUGAUCAGCCACACUGGGACUGAGACACGGCCCAGACUCCUACGGGAGGCAGCAGUGGGGAAUCUUAGACAAUGGGGGCAACCCUGAUCUAGCCAUGCCGCGUGAGUGAUGAAGGCCUUAGGGUUGUAAAGCUCUUUCAGCUGGGAAGAUAAUGACGGUACCAGCAGAAGAAGCCCCGGCUAACUGCGUG